Lasiosphaeria miniovina is the source of this 82-nucleotide non-coding RNA. The record is from the annotation of a RefSeq genome assembly. NCBI's taxonomy places the organism in Eukaryota, Fungi, Ascomycota, Sordariomycetes, Sordariales, Lasiosphaeriaceae.
GACAUUGUGGCAGAGUGAUUUAAUGCACCAGAUUAGAAAUCUUGUCUCUUCGGAGGCGUUUGUUCAAAUCAGGCCAAUGUCG